GGGGGCGACAUGGUUUCGACGGGUGUCAUGAAGCACAUGCUGCGAUCCGCGGAUUUCUGUCUCCGCGUCAAAAAGGCCGAGACUCAAUAAUUGCCAACAACAGCAAUUACGCUCUGGCUGCUUAAGACGGCCAGUGUCCUACCGGGGAGUACCUGCGUACCCGGCCGGGGCAUCAAAUCAGCAGGAAAGCCACUUGUGACCUGUUCGCGGUUGCAAGGGUGAUAGUAGCGAAACCGCCCGUGGGCACACCCUGUCUGU
Molecule: transfer-messenger RNA, 258 nt
Filed under: Myxococcales bacterium
Lineage: Bacteria; Pseudomonadati; Myxococcota; Myxococcia; Myxococcales
Description: partial transfer-messenger RNA
Rfam family: transfer-messenger RNA
About the family: Bacterial tmRNA, also known as 10Sa RNA or SsrA, is named for its dual tRNA and mRNA-like properties. Its role is to liberate the mRNA from a stalled ribosome.
Source: RNAcentral